RNAcentral lists this ribosomal RNA (253 nucleotides) under uncultured bacterium. RNAcentral describes it as "partial 16S ribosomal RNA". It matches the Rfam family "Bacterial small subunit ribosomal RNA", at positions 524 to 776 of the family's 1533-position model. The record is from RNAcentral.
UACGAAGGGGGCUAGCGUUGCUCGGAAUCACUGGGCGUAAAGGGUGCGUAGGCGGGUCUUUAAGUUAGGGGUGAAAUCCUGGAGCUCAACUCCAGAACUGCCUUUGAUACUGAGGAUCUUGAGUUCGGGAGAGGUGAGUGGAACUGCGAGUGUAGAGGUGAAAUUCGUAGAUAUUCGCAAGAACACCAGUGGCGAAGGCGGCUCACUGGCCCGAUACUGACGCUGAGGCACGAAAGCGUGGGGAGCGAACAGG